ACGACCUUACUUGAACAGGAUCUGUUCUAUAGGCUCGUACCGCUGCAUCCUUUACCAAUAAGGAGGCAAGCACUUCAGUCUGGUUGAUGCAUUCUGACCUGUGGGCCAGAGCGUGAUUAACGGCCAGGAUUUCCCUGAUGGGGCAAUCCGACAGCUGUAGAGGAUCGUUCCUGCCUGGCUCUCACACCUGUGCAGGGUGGCCCAGAGGUUGUCUGACAGACU
Triticum aestivum (bread wheat) is the source of this 222-nucleotide non-coding RNA. The record is from Rfam. Lineage: Eukaryota; Viridiplantae; Streptophyta; Magnoliopsida; Poales; Poaceae.